GAUGAACGCUGGCGGCGUGCCUAAUACAUGCGAGUCGAGCGAACAGACGAGAGUGCUUGCACUCUCUGACGUUAGCGGCGGACGGGUGAGUAACACGUGGGUAACCUACCUAUAAGACUGGGAUAACUUCGGGAAACCGGAGCUAAUACCGGAUAAUAUUUAGCUUCGCAUGAAGCAAUAGUGAAAGACGGUUCUGCUGUCACUUAUAGAUGGACCCGCGGUGUAUUAGCUAGUUGGUGAGGUAACGGCUCACCAAGGCAACGAUACAUAGCCGACCUGAGAGGGUGAUCGGCCACACUGGGACUGAGGCACGGCCCAGACUCCUACGGGAGGCAGCAGUAGGGAAUCUUCCGCAAUGGACGAAAGUCUGACGGAGCAAUGCCGCGUGAGUGAAGAAGGUUUUCGGAUCGUAAAACUCUGUUGUAAGGGAAGAACAAGUACGUUAGUAACUGAACGUACCUUGACGGUACCUUACCAGAAAGCCACGGCUAACUACGUG
Molecule: ribosomal RNA, 499 nt
Filed under: uncultured bacterium
Lineage: Bacteria
Description: partial 16S ribosomal RNA
Rfam family: Bacterial small subunit ribosomal RNA
Source: RNAcentral